UACGGAGGAUUCAAGCGUUAUCCGGAUUUAUUGGGUUUAAAGGGUGCGUAGGCGGUUUUUUAAGUUAGUGGUUAAACGUCGGGGCUUCACCUUGAUUUGCCAUUAAUACUGUAAGACUCGAGUUCAGACGAGGUAGGCGGAAUAAGUUAAGUAGCGGUGAAAUGCUUAGAUAUAACUUAGAACUCCGAUAGCGAAGGCAGCUCACUAGACUGCAACUGACACUGAUGCUCGAAAGUGUGGGUAUCAAACAGG
This 252-nucleotide ribosomal RNA is filed under the name uncultured Odoribacter sp. Its description in RNAcentral is "partial 16S ribosomal RNA". It matches the Rfam family "Bacterial small subunit ribosomal RNA", at positions 524 to 776 of the family's 1533-position model. The record is from RNAcentral. Lineage: Bacteria; Pseudomonadati; Bacteroidota; Bacteroidia; Bacteroidales; Odoribacteraceae.